Molecule: transfer RNA, 69 nt
Filed under: Agonita chinensis
Lineage: Eukaryota; Metazoa; Arthropoda; Insecta; Coleoptera; Chrysomelidae
Description: tRNA-Ile
Source: RNAcentral
UCAACUUAAAAAAAUUGAAAUUUAUAAUAAUAUAAUAACAUUUUUAUUUAAUUAAUAAAAAUUAGUACU